This 225-nucleotide ribosomal RNA is filed under the name Alexandrium margalefii. RNAcentral describes it as "partial Bacterial small subunit ribosomal RNA". It matches the Rfam family "Bacterial small subunit ribosomal RNA", at positions 1212 to 1436 of the family's 1533-position model. Lineage: Eukaryota; Dinophyceae; Gonyaulacales; Pyrocystaceae. The record is from RNAcentral.
GGCUACACACGUGCUACAAUGGCGAUGACAGAGGGACGCAAGCCGGCGACGGUGAGCCAAUCUCUAAAAGUCGUCUCAGUUCGGAUUGUUCUCUGCAACUCGAGAGCAUGAAGUCGGAAUCGCUAGUAAUCGCGUAUCAGCAAUGACGCGGUGAAUACGUUCCCGGACCUUGUACACACCGCCCGUCAAGCCAUGGGAGUUGGGUAUACCUGAAGAUGGUUGCCG